RNAcentral lists this ribosomal RNA (445 nucleotides) under uncultured bacterium. RNAcentral's name for it is "bacterial SSU rRNA". It matches the Rfam family "Bacterial small subunit ribosomal RNA", at positions 330 to 792 of the family's 1533-position model. The record is from RNAcentral.
GCCAGACUCCUACGGGAGGCAGCAGUGGGGAAUAUUGCACAAUGGGGGAAACCCUGAUGCAGCGACGCCGCGUGAGUGAAGAAGUAUUUCGGUAUGUAAAGCUCUAUCAGCAGGGAAGAAAAUGACGGUACCUGACUAAGAAGCCCCGGCUAACUACGUGCCAGCAGCCGCGGUAAUACGUAGGGGGCAAGCGUUAUCCGGAUUUACUGGGUGUAAAGGGAGCGUAGACGGUGAUGCAAGUCAGAAGUGAAAGCCCGGGGCUCAACUCCGGGACUGCUUUUGAAACUGUGUGACUGGAGUGCAGGAGAGGUAAGCGGAAUUCCUGGUGUAGCGGUGAAAUGCGUAGAUGUCAGGAGGAACACCAGUGGCGAAGGCGGCUUACUGGACUGUAACUGACGUUGAGGCUCGAAAGCGUGGGGAGCAAACAGGAUUAGAUACCCUAGUA